This 482-nucleotide ribosomal RNA is filed under the name uncultured bacterium. RNAcentral's name for it is "partial 16S ribosomal RNA". It matches the Rfam family "Bacterial small subunit ribosomal RNA", at positions 30 to 507 of the family's 1533-position model. The record is from RNAcentral.
UUGAACGCUGGCGGCAGGCCUAACACAUGCAAGUCGCGCGGAUGAAGGGAGCUUGCUCCUGGAUUCAGCGGCGGACGGGUGAGUAAUGCCUAGGAAUCUGCCUGGUAGUGGGGGAUAACGUCCGGAAACGGGCGCUAAUACCGCAUACGUCCUGAGGGAGAAAGUGGGGGAUCUUCGGACCUCACGCUAUCAGAUGAGCCUAGGUCGGAUUAGCUAGUUGGUGGGGUAAAGGCCUACCAAGGCGACGAUCCGUAACUGGUCUGAGAGGAUGAUCAGUCACAUGGGAACUGAACAACGGUCCAGACUCCUAGGGGAGGCACAAGUGGGGAUAUUGGACAAUGGGCGAAAGCCUGAUCCAGCCAUGCCGCGUGUGUGAAGAAGGUCUUCGGAUUGUAAAGCACUUUAAGUUGGGAGGAAGGGCAGUAAGUUAAUACCUUGCUGUUUUGACGUUACCAACAGAAUAAGCACCGGCUAACUUCGUG